Molecule: long non-coding RNA, 685 nt
Organism: Herpailurus yagouaroundi (jaguarundi)
Lineage: Eukaryota; Metazoa; Chordata; Mammalia; Carnivora; Felidae
Exons: 6
Source: RefSeq, a predicted model, not a curated record
UUACAGCUCAGUCUUCACAGCUGAACUUGUAUUUUUCAGAACAUAGUUCUUUAGCCAUAAGGCAUUUGGCAAUUUUCAUCAAUAAAAAAAUAAAUUGCAUAAAAGGGAGUUGGGGUUGAACCCGCCUAUCACCUUUUAUGUGAAUUUUCUCUUUCUAUUCUCUCAGCGCAUGUCUGCCAGCAUUUACAUUCCUGAAAUAAUUUAUGUGGGGAUGGAAGAAAAACAGAAAAGAAAACAACUUCCUCAAACUACUCUACAAGGAGAACAUUUGGAAGAUCAUGUCGAUGGAAUAGUGAUGCAGUGGUAAAAUUAAAGGUUAUGACAACUGAAAUAAUUUGUAUGAAGAUAAAACGUGGUUUUGUUCACAAACAGGAAUUCGCCGUGAACUUUUAAGUCUCCACUUGAUCUUAGCCAAAAGGCCAAGAAGUGAUAACACUUUUCAGUCUCAAUAUAGGUUUGGCAAAUUGAUUUUCCCCCCAGCAACAUAAUACUCAGAGAUCCCGAAAGAAUGGCUCUAUAUUGGCAGAAUUUUGGAGUCAUUGCAAGCUUCUUGGGGGUGUGGAGAUUCAGCCACGCUUCCAUGAGACUACUGGUGACACUCCAUCUGUCAGAUCUCAAAUUGACAGAAGUGAUAAGGACAGAGAAAGAGCAUGAGCAGGGGAGAGGCAGACAAAGAAUCGGAAGC